This 483-nucleotide ribosomal RNA is filed under the name uncultured bacterium. Its description in RNAcentral is "partial 16S ribosomal RNA". It matches the Rfam family "Bacterial small subunit ribosomal RNA", at positions 30 to 506 of the family's 1533-position model. The record is from RNAcentral.
AUUGAACGCUGGCGGCAGGCCUAACACAUGCAAGUCGAGCGGAUGAAGGGAGCUUGCUCCUGGAUUCAGCGGCGGACGGGUGAGUAAUGCCUAGGAAUCUGCCUGGUAGUGGGGGAUAACGUCCGGAAACGGGCGCUAAUACCGCAUACGUCCUGAGGGAGAAAGUGGGGGAUCUUCGGACCUCACGCUAUCAGAUGAGCCUAGGUCGGAUUAGCUAGUUGGUGGGGUAAAGGCCUACCAAGGCGACGAUCCGUAACUGGUCUGAGAGGAUGAUCAGUCACACUGGAACUGAGACACGGUCCAGACUCCUACGGGAGGCAGCAGUGGGGAAUAUUGGACAAUGGGCGAAAGCCUGAUCCAGCCAUGCCGCGUGUGUGAAGAAGGUCUUCGGAUUGUAAAGUACUUUAAGUUGGGAGGAAGGGCAGUAAGUUAAUACCUUGCUGUUUGGACGUUACCAACAGAAUAAGCACCGGCUAACUUCGU